GUUUGGUCUGUUGUUGUCGAUUGAUUCGUUGUUUACAUGGUUUGGAUCAACAUUUCUUGAAGGGAUACUUUGAUUUGGAUUAUCAAAGCUCUAGGAGUAUCAACUAAAACAUUAUGGAUUGCUGCCGGGUUUGCUUGGUAGACGAAGCUGACGUAUUUCUGUCGCUAUUUUCCAAGUCCGACCAAAUCUCGAUCUCGGAAAUGAUCAAUGAGCUGACCGGAUUGAAGAUUUUGAAAGGCGACGGUCUUCCUCGGUUCAUUUGCAGGAGUGUUCGG
Long non-coding RNA from Aedes aegypti (yellow fever mosquito), 275 nucleotides. RefSeq lists it as uncharacterized. NCBI's taxonomy places the organism in Eukaryota, Metazoa, Arthropoda, Insecta, Diptera, Culicidae. The transcript is spliced from 3 exons. The record is from RefSeq and is a predicted model, not a curated record.